AAAACGACUCUCGGCAACGGAUAUCUCGGCUCUCGCAUCGAUGAAGAACGUAGCGAAAUGCGAUACUUGGUGUGAAUUGCAGAAUCCCGUGAACCAUCGAGUCUUUGAACGCAAGUUGCGCCCGAAGCCUUUCGGCCGAGGGCACGCCUGCCUGGGUGUCAUGCA
Molecule: ribosomal RNA, 165 nt
Filed under: Oxossia calyptrocarpa
Lineage: Eukaryota; Viridiplantae; Streptophyta; Magnoliopsida; Malpighiales; Passifloraceae
Description: 5.8S ribosomal RNA
Rfam family: 5.8S ribosomal RNA
About the family: 5.8S ribosomal RNA (5.8S rRNA) is a component of the large subunit of the eukaryotic ribosome. It is transcribed by RNA polymerase I as part of the 45S precursor that also contains 18S and 28S rRNA.
Source: RNAcentral